AUGAAUGUCAGUGUUCGACGAGUCGACAGGUGUUCUGUGUCAAAUAUGUCGUACCUCCCCAGCAGGUUUGAGAUAGGUUUCCUCGGCAACCAGGCCUGAAGGUUGUUGUUUCCCCUAGCAGGGUUGAGAUUGUUAUAUCCCCAGCAAGUUGGAAGGUUGCCGUUUCCCCAGCGGAGGUGUGCGUUGGUAGCUGUUUCCCCAGCGAAGUCCCCAAGAGGAUCGAGUUCGGUGGAGGUCAUCCCUGGUGAGGGUUGUCCUUU
This 260-nucleotide long non-coding RNA is filed under the name Lathyrus oleraceus (garden pea). RNAcentral describes it as "Pisum sativum (pea) long non-coding RNA (PSAT_LNC036854)". Lineage: Eukaryota; Viridiplantae; Streptophyta; Magnoliopsida; Fabales; Fabaceae. The record is from RNAcentral.